CUUUCCCAGUAGAAAAGGUCGCCCGAAGCAGGCCACAAAAGUAAAAAGCCAGGCUCUGCUGAUGUUGGAUCUGGCUUAACAAAUCCAGCUAACGGUGGGCUAUUUAGACUCUGCUGAUCUAGAAUACCCGUAAAACGUUCCCAAUCAAAGCAUAUUAAGUUUUGGGGCUGACUUCCAUAACCAGCAAUCCAUGCCUUUCGAACUUUGACACUAAUAUACAAAUAAUAUUCCAAAAUAGAGUCAAUUAGUCCAACAACUGGCGCAUCAUGGAUUGUAAAAUUGCCAACCUUAGGAGCAGAUAUUUGGAGUAUU
Schizosaccharomyces pombe (fission yeast) is the source of this 312-nucleotide non-coding RNA. The record is from the annotation of a GenBank genome assembly. Lineage: Eukaryota; Fungi; Ascomycota; Schizosaccharomycetes; Schizosaccharomycetales; Schizosaccharomycetaceae.